RNAcentral lists this transfer RNA (80 nucleotides) under Exophiala xenobiotica. Its description in RNAcentral is "tRNA-Arg". It matches the Rfam family "tRNA". Rfam says of the family: Transfer RNA (tRNA) molecules are approximately 80 nucleotides in length. Their secondary structure includes four short double-helical elements and three loops (D, anti-codon, and T loops). Further hydrogen bonds mediate the characteristic L-shaped molecular structure. tRNAs have two regions of fundamental functional importance: the anti-codon, which is responsible for specific mRNA codon recognition, and the 3' end, to which the tRNAs corresponding amino acid is attached (by aminoacyl-tRNA synthetases). tRNAs cope with the degeneracy of the genetic code in two manners: having more than one tRNA (with a specific anti-codon) for a particular amino acid; and 'wobble' base-pairing, i.e. permitting non-standard base-pairing at the 3rd anti-codon position. Lineage: Eukaryota; Fungi; Ascomycota; Eurotiomycetes; Chaetothyriales; Herpotrichiellaceae. The record is from RNAcentral.
GGCGGCGUGGCCUAAUGGUAAGGCGUUGCUUUCCGGCUUUUGUCUGGCAAAGACUGUGGGUUCGAGUCCCAUCGCCGUCG